Molecule: ribosomal RNA, 398 nt
Filed under: uncultured bacterium
Lineage: Bacteria
Description: bacterial SSU rRNA
Rfam family: Bacterial small subunit ribosomal RNA
Source: RNAcentral
AAUAUUGGACAAUGGGCGAAAGCCUGAUCCAGCAAUGCCGCGUGAGUGAUGAAGGCCUUAGGGUUGUAAAGCUCUUUUACCCGGGAUGGUAAUGACAGUACCGGGAGAAUAAGCUCCGGCUAACUCCGUGCCAGCAGCCGCGGUAAUACGGAGGGAGCUAGCGUUGUUCGGAAUUACUGGGCGUAAAGCGCACGUAGGCGGCUAUUCAAGUCAGAGGUGAAAGCCAGGGGCUCAACCCCGGAACUGCCUUUGAAACUAGAUAGCUUGAAUCCAGGAGAGGUGAGUGGAAUUCCGAGUGUAGAGGUGAAAUUCGUAGAUAUUCGGAAGAACACCAGUGGCGAAGGCGGCUCACUGGACUGGUAUUGACGCUGAGGUGCGAAAGCGUGGGGAGCAAACAG